RNAcentral lists this ribosomal RNA (276 nucleotides) under Seonamhaeicola marinus. RNAcentral's name for it is "partial 23S ribosomal RNA". It matches the Rfam family "Bacterial large subunit ribosomal RNA", at positions 654 to 928 of the family's 2925-position model. Lineage: Bacteria; Pseudomonadati; Bacteroidota; Flavobacteriia; Flavobacteriales; Flavobacteriaceae. The record is from RNAcentral.
UCAGGUGCGGAUCCGUAGCGAAAGCGAGUCUGAAUAGGGCGCUAUAGUUAGUAGUGGUAGACGCGAAACCGUGUGAUCUACCCAUGGGCAGGUUGAAGCUGUGGUAACACACAGUGGAGGACCGAACCGGUUGACGUUGAAAAGUCUUCGGAUGACCUGUGGGUAGGGGUGAAAGGCCAAUCAAACUCGGAAAUAGCUCGUACUCCCCGAAAUGCAUUUAGGUGCAGCGUAGUAAUAGUUUUAUAGAGGUAGAGCUACUGAUUGGAUGCGGGGGCU